UUCUUUCAUUGGACCUAAAGAUGCCGCACC
RNAcentral lists this non-coding RNA (30 nucleotides) under Rattus norvegicus (Norway rat). The record is from RNAcentral. Lineage: Eukaryota; Metazoa; Chordata; Mammalia; Rodentia; Muridae.